GAGAUAACUCCUACGGGAGGCAGCAGUGGGGAAUAUUGCACAAUGGGCGCAAGCCUGAUGCAGCGACGCCGCGUGCGGGAUGACGGCCUUCGGGUUGUAAACCGCUUUCAGCAGGGAAGAAGGGCCUCUUUUUGGAGGUUUGACGGUACUUGCAGAAGAAGCGCCGGCUAACUACGUGCCAGCAGCCGCGGUAAUACGUAGGGCGCGAGCGUUAUCCGGAAUUAUUGGGCGUAAAGAGCUUGUAGGCGGUUUGCCGCGUCUGCUGUGAAAGCCCGGGGCUUAACUCCGGGUGUGCAGUGGGUACGGGCAGGCUAGAGUGCAGUAGGGGAGACUGGAAUUCCUGGUGUAGCGGUGAAAUGCGCAGAUAUCAGGAGGAACACCGAUGGCGAAGGCAGGUCUCUGGGCUGUUACUGACGCUGAGAAGCGAAAGCAUGGGUAGCGAACAGGAUUAGAAACCCUUGUAGUCCUCCACU
This 473-nucleotide ribosomal RNA is filed under the name uncultured bacterium. RNAcentral describes it as "bacterial SSU rRNA". It matches the Rfam family "Bacterial small subunit ribosomal RNA", at positions 329 to 803 of the family's 1533-position model. The record is from RNAcentral.